This 273-nucleotide ribosomal RNA is filed under the name Streptomyces evansiae. RNAcentral's name for it is "Streptomyces sp. DSM 41979 partial 23S ribosomal RNA". It matches the Rfam family "Bacterial large subunit ribosomal RNA", at positions 1088 to 1346 of the family's 2925-position model. Lineage: Bacteria; Bacillati; Actinomycetota; Actinomycetes; Kitasatosporales; Streptomycetaceae. The record is from RNAcentral.
GACAACCAGGAGGUUGGCUUAGAAGCAGCCACCCUUGAAAGAGUGCGUAAUAGCUCACUGGUCUAGUGAUUCCGCGCCGACAAUGUAGCGGGGCUCAAGCGUACCGCCGAAGUCGUGUCAUUGCAGCGUGAAGCCCCAACGGGUGUUGUGAUGGGUAGGGGAGCGUCGUGUGCCGGGUGAAGCUGCCGCGUAAGCGAGUGGUGGACGGUUCACGAGUGAGAAUGCAGGCAUGAGUAGCGAUUCACACGUGAGAAACGUGUGCGCCGAUUGACU